CUACCUCUUCCUUGUUCCUCAGCACGACCUGAUUCCCAUAGGUAAUGCUUGGGCUAACUUAAUUGUUAGUAUUUUUCUGUCCACUAAAGUGCUUUCAACUCUAAGGAGCUAAAAAUCAAAUUUCUCAACUUUUCAAAAUAUUUUUAAACAUAAUAAUCUCACCACCAGAGGGCAAAGAACAAAAUCUAAAGGCAUAGGGAUAUUCACUUUCUAGACAAAUGAAGUAAACAAGGUCUUCUACUAUUUGUGUGGACAUUUUAAAAGUGUUAGAAUGCGAAGAAUCUCCAUAAGGAAGCUACUAAUUCUAAAAAUUAAUCUAUAGAUUAAGACUUCCCUGUUUGUUGAAAAGGAAAAAAAGCCUUGUUAGAUAACCAUAGUCUAAAUCUAAUGAUCUUUCUCUUUCUGACUCUUUCCAGGAUCAUUUUUUAAGAAAGAAAGAAAGAAAGAAAGAAAGAAAGAAAGAAAGAAAGAAAGAAAGAAAGAAAGAAAGAAAGAAAGAAAGAAAGAAAGAAAGAAAGAAAGAAAGAAAGAAAGAAAGAAAGAAGGAAAGAAGGAAAGAAAGGAAGGAAGGAAGGAAGAAAGAAAGAAAGAAAGAAAGAAAGAAAGAAAGAAGGAAAGAAGGAAAGAAAGAAAGGAAGGAAGAAAGAAGGAAAGAAGGAAAGAAAGAAAGAAAGAAGAAAGAAAGAAAGGAAGGAAGGAAGAAAGAAAGAAAGGAAGGAAGGAAGGAAGGAAGGAAGAAAGAAAGAAAGGAAGGAAGGAAGGAAGGAAGGAAGGAAGGAAGGAAGGAAGGAAGGAAGGAAGGAAGGAAGGAAGGAAGGAAGGAAGGAAGGAAGGAAGGAAGAAAGGAAGGAAGAAGAGAAUUAAUGCUUCAGGAGGUAGUUACUUUGGGAUUUAGAAGAAAGGCAAGAGAUAGGACAACAUUUGCCAAUUGCCUUUAAGCGGAAAGCUAAGCAGGAAUUUCCCGACUGCUUUUUAGAAGUAUUCCGCCCUUAUCCCGAAGAGCAAGGAAGGCAGCAGCACACUUGCUCCUCCAGGACCUAUGGAAUACAUCUCCGCAACUAGUAAGGUCUGCUUUUCUGUCAUCCUCCUCGAUGCCCUAUGUGCACGGGGACUACAGGACCCCGAUCAACAGGCAGAGGACCCAUUUCAAGAAAAUCGAGAGUAUUUUUAACAGGUCCUCGCAAAGGGGAUAUCGUCUGUCUCAGAUGUGGUUCAGGGAGUAGGGUGACCUUACACCGCGUAAAAUUAGGUUCUGAUUUUAAGGUCAGACUUUCUACGCCGGGUUCCCUCUGCCUACUCAUGCCGGAAACGAAUGUCCUUAGUGAAGUAAAUGACAAAUAGAAUGUAUUUCUGAUGCCUGCUGGAAUGUGUAACACAUAACUCAGUUUAUAGGCAUAGUUAAUAGAUAUAUGUUUACACACAUCUUUCCAUCUUUCAGCCAACUCGAAUCCCUAAAUACAAACUUCAGCAUUAGAGCAC
Molecule: long non-coding RNA, 1479 nt
Filed under: Monodelphis domestica (gray short-tailed opossum)
Lineage: Eukaryota; Metazoa; Chordata; Mammalia; Didelphimorphia; Didelphidae
Description: lncRNA (ENSMODG00000047063.1)
Source: RNAcentral